RNAcentral lists this long non-coding RNA (846 nucleotides) under Homo sapiens (human). Its description in RNAcentral is "HSALNT0050782". The record is from RNAcentral. Lineage: Eukaryota; Metazoa; Chordata; Mammalia; Primates; Hominidae.
GUGAUUUGUCUGCUUAUUCCAGAGAAAGCUCUGGGCUUGUACUCCUCUCCAGCUGUCCCCAGACAGCUAGUCGCCUCCAGAAGUACUUCACCCAUGCACGGAGAGCCCAAAGGCCCACAGCCACCUACUGUGCUGUCACUGAUGGGAUCCCAGCUGCUUCUGAGGGGAAGAUCCAGGCUGCCCUGAAACUGGAACACAUUGAUGGGGUCAAUCUCGUGAGUCCGGGUCUGGGAAGAGGAGGGGUGCUUCUAGAUAUAGUACCCCUACAGAGAGGAGUCAGGGGUAUGGAUUUGGGAUGGCUGGCUCUCCUGUCCCCUAAAACAGGCAAGUGACCACUGCCUAUACUGUGGCCCUGCCCGGAGUCUAUUGGGAGCAGGGAGGGUCUGGGUAUAGCUCCCAGACCUGUGUAAGGCUUGUUCACUCUUGGCUGGCACCACAGACAGUUCCAGUGAAGGCCCCAUCCCGAAAGGACAUCCUGGAAGGUGUCAAGAAGACUCUCAGUCACUUUCGUGUGGUAGCCACAGGCUCUGGCUGUGCCCUGGUCCAGCUGCAGCCACUGACAGGUAGGUCUGGCACCCUAGCCAGCCUUUAAAACUGCACUUGAUUUGGGAGGCUGAGGCAGGUGGAUCACGAGGUCAGGAGUUCAAGACCAGUCUGGCCAAGAUGGUGAAACCCUGUUUCAACUAAAAACUACAAAAAUUAGCUGGGCACGGUGGCAGGCGCCUGUAAAACCAGCUACUCGGGAGGCUGAGGCAGGAGAAUCGCUUGAACCUGGGAGGCAGAAGUUGCAAUGAGCCAAGAUCAUGCCACUGCACUCCAGUCUAGGUGAUAGAGGAGACUUCAUCU